RNAcentral lists this ribosomal RNA (402 nucleotides) under uncultured Rhodopseudomonas sp. RNAcentral describes it as "bacterial SSU rRNA". It matches the Rfam family "Bacterial small subunit ribosomal RNA", at positions 355 to 774 of the family's 1533-position model. Lineage: Bacteria; Pseudomonadati; Pseudomonadota; Alphaproteobacteria; Hyphomicrobiales; Nitrobacteraceae. The record is from RNAcentral.
UGGGGAAUAUUGGACAAUGGGGGAAACCCUGAUCCAGCCAUGCCGCGUGAGUGAUGAAGGCCCUAGGGUUGUAAAGCUCUUUUGUGCGGGAAGAUAAUGACGGUACCGCAAGAAUAAGCCCCGGCUAACUUCGUGCCAGCAGCCGCGGUAAUACGAAGGGGGCUAGCGUUGCUCGGAAUCACUGGGCGUAAAGGGUGCGUAGGCGGGUCUUUAAGUCAGAGGUGAAAGCCUGGAGCUCAACUCCAGAACUGCCUUUGAUACUGAGGAUCUUGAGUAUGGGAGAGGUGAGUGGAACUGCGAGUGUAGAGGUGAAAUUCGUAGAUAUUCGCAAGAACACCAGUGGCGAAGGCGGCUCACUGGCCCAUAACUGACGCUGAGGCACGAAAGCGUGGGGAGCAAACA